ACAAACUUGGUCAUUUAGAGGAAGUAAAAGUCGUAACAAGGUUUCCGUAGGUGAACCUGCGGAAGGAUCAUUAUUGAAUCAAUUGAGUUGCUGCUGGCUCUUAGGAGCAUAUGUGCACACUUAAUUCAAUUUUCUCUAACAAUAAUCCUUAUGUGCAUCUUUUGUAGAUCUCAAACAAAUCAAGGUAGUAUUUGCUGCCUUGGAUAGAGGAUUGCCGAGCAAUAAUUAGCCAGCUUUUCUUAUGUUUUGAAUCUAUGUUUAUAUAAACUCAGAAUAUUGUAGAGGACUAUCAUGGAUAAACGAGGCCUUUGUGCCUUUAAAACAUAAAAUACAACUUUCAACAACGGAUCUCUUGGUUCUCGCAUCGAUGAAGAACGCAGC
RNAcentral lists this unclassified non-coding RNA (381 nucleotides) under uncultured fungus. RNAcentral's name for it is "partial contains small subunit ribosomal RNA, internal transcribed spacer 1, and 5.8S ribosomal RNA". The stretch from base 1 to 73 matches the Rfam family "Eukaryotic small subunit ribosomal RNA", at positions 1759 to 1831 of the family's 1831-position model. Lineage: Eukaryota; Fungi. The record is from RNAcentral.